UCCGUAGGGGGCAAUCGUUGUCCGGAAUUAUUGGGCGUAAAGCGCGCGCAGGCGGUCUCUUAAGUCUGAUGCGAAAGCCCACGGCUCAACCGUGGAGGGUCAUUGGAAACUGGGAGACUUGAGUGUAGGAGAGGAAAGUGGAAUUCCACGUGUAGCGGUGAAAUGCGUAGAGAUGUGGAGGAACACCAGUGGCGAAGGCGACUUUCUGGCCUAUAACUGACGCUGAGGUGCGAAAGCGUGGGGAGCAAACAGG
RNAcentral lists this ribosomal RNA (253 nucleotides) under uncultured bacterium. RNAcentral's name for it is "partial 16S ribosomal RNA". It matches the Rfam family "Bacterial small subunit ribosomal RNA", at positions 524 to 776 of the family's 1533-position model. The record is from RNAcentral.